RNAcentral lists this ribosomal RNA (292 nucleotides) under uncultured bacterium. Its description in RNAcentral is "partial 16S ribosomal RNA". The record is from RNAcentral.
GGACUACCGGGGUAUCUAAUCCUGUUUGAUCCCCAUGCUUUCGUGCCUGAGCGUCAAUAAAGCGCCAAUUCGCUGCCUUCGCCACUGGUGUUCUUCCGAAUAUCUACACAUUUCACUGCUACACUCGGAAUUCCACGAAUCUCUCGCUUAUUCAAGACUGACAGUAUCAAAGGCAGGUUCACAGUUGAGCUGUGAGAUUUCACCCCUGACUUACCAGUCCGCCUGCGCACCCUUUACACCCAGUAAAUCCGGACAACGCUAGGACCCUACGUAUUACCGCGGCUGCUGGCAC